This 492-nucleotide ribosomal RNA is filed under the name uncultured bacterium. RNAcentral describes it as "partial 16S ribosomal RNA". It matches the Rfam family "Bacterial small subunit ribosomal RNA", at positions 29 to 507 of the family's 1533-position model. The record is from RNAcentral.
AGUGAACGCUGGCGAUAGGCCUAACACAUGCAAGUCGAACGGCAGCACAGUAAGAGUUUGCUCUUACGGGUGGCGAGUGGCGGACGGGUGAGGAAUACAUCGGAAUCUACUUUUUCGUGGGGGAUAACGUAGGGAAACUUACGCUAAUACCGCAUACGACCUACGGGUGAAAGCAGGGGAUCUUCGGACCUUGCGCGAUUGAAUGAGCCGAUGUCGGAUUAGCUAGUUGGCGGGGUAAAGGCCCACCAAGGCGACGAUCCGUAGCUGGUCUGAGAGGAUGAGCCGCCACACUGGAACUGAGACGCGAUCCAGACUCCUACGGGAGGCAGCAGUGGGGAAUAUUGGACAAUGGGCCGAAGCUUGAUCCAGCAAUACCGCGUGCGUGAAGAAGGACUUCGGGUUGUAAAGCCCUUUUGUUGGGAAAGAAAAGCAGCAGGUUAAUACCCCGCUGUUCUGACGGUACCCAAAGAAUAAGCACCGGCUAACUUCGUG